AAGAAAUGUGGCAUGCCCGUUGUGAUUACUCUGAUUAUUGAUGUAUUAUUAUUAUUUUAAUUGAUUUUGGGAAACGGGGUGUUACAGUUCC
This is a microRNA precursor of Medicago truncatula (barrel medic), 91 nucleotides long. It matches the Rfam family "MIR2617 microRNA precursor family". NCBI's taxonomy places the organism in Eukaryota, Viridiplantae, Streptophyta, Magnoliopsida, Fabales, Fabaceae. The record is from Rfam.